CAGGUUUAAAUCACCUCUUCUUUACUUUGUUCUCUGAUUAGGACUCCUAGCAAAAUAACAGUGUCAAGACAUAUGGUCACCAAGAGACAUCAGCACCCAAAGGCUUGUGAAUGUGACUGUGUUGGGGGGAGGGGUGAUCUUUCUUACAGCUACCUCUCUGAUCUCAGGAGAACUUGAAUCCACCUCGAUAUAUGUGACCAGAUACCUAAGAUCCACCCUUUUUCUCCUAUUCUGACUGACCUUGGGAUCCCGGUUAUCCUCUACAAUUGAGCUGUUGCAAGAGAACCAGAAAGAAAUUUCUUUUUCCCUGAAAUGGCCCAAUGCUGAAUUUCUCCAGAUUGACUAACACCAACACCAAGAGGAUAGUAUGGUUUUAAAACAAAUCCAGGUCUAGUUAGGAUUGAAUCUAAUUGGACUCUAGAUUGGACUUGGUUUCUUAUAGCCAUCUAAUAUCUUCCUUGGAGCUAUCCCCAAAAUACAAGGCUCCUGUGGAAUGGGGAGUCUCAGUAUGACCGUAGCAGAAACAAAUUGCCACAGGCUUCUUAGUCUGGCAUGCCCAAACCUCUCCAAAGACAAUGGGGAGGAAACAAGUUUCAGAGUGCUUCAUGCCCCAUGGAAAUUAUAACUAUGUUUUCAAAUAUGAUAGUUACUAACCACAUAUGACUCUUAAAAUUAAAUUUUGAAUUAAUUAAAAUAAUUCAGUGCCUCAGUCACAUGAAGAGACUUUUAAUGUGCUCCUAACCAUAUGUCCAUGUAUAUCACAGAUAUAACACAUUUCUACUAGCACAGAAAGUUCUAGCAGAUAUUCAUAGACUCCAGUAUUUCAUUGAAGUAUGGUUUUGCUCUACCUAUGUGAGCAUUCAUAUUUGUGGUUAUUUUAACAAUACACAUCUUUCUCUCUCAUUUUGCCUUUAAUAAGUAAUAUAUUAACCAAGGGUGCAUUCAGGAGAGGUAGGAUUAUAUCUUGAUAAGAGUACUACUUGGUUUCUGAAGCCAAAAGCCAAGUGGUAUCUUAGUGUUUCCAAUAGUCAUGUGUUGACUGGUUGAGUAAAUGGCCUAUUUUCUAUAGCUGCUUAUCACCUUAUAUUUCCCCUUCUGAAACACUCCCAGGUUUACAGAUACACUUAGCAAUCAUCCUAACUAAACUGUGAGCCUUAUGAAUGUAAUCGCUGCUUCUCUCCAUUUUAUCAUUGUAGCCUCACCAUCCAGCACUGUGCCUGGGUGAUGAUUAUUGUAUAAUAAAUAUUUGUUAAAUGAGUGAGUGAAUAAAUGUUGACUUUCUAUGUGUCAUUCACUCAUGA
This 1301-nucleotide long non-coding RNA is filed under the name Marmota monax (woodchuck). Lineage: Eukaryota; Metazoa; Chordata; Mammalia; Rodentia; Sciuridae. The record is from RNAcentral.